UACGUAGGGUGCGAGCGUUAAUCGGAAUUACUGGGCGUAAAGGGUGCGCAGGCGGUUAUAUAAGACAGAUGUGAAAUCCCCGGGCUCAACCUGGGAACUGCGUUUGUGACUGUAUGACUAGAGUACGGUAGAGAGGGGUGGAAUUCCUGGUGUAGCAGUGAAAUGCGUAGAUAUCAGGAGGAACACCUGUGGUGUAGACGGCUUUCUGGACCAUAGCUGACGCUGAGACACGAAAGCGUGGGUAGCAAACAGG
Molecule: ribosomal RNA, 253 nt
Filed under: uncultured bacterium
Lineage: Bacteria
Description: partial 16S ribosomal RNA
Rfam family: Bacterial small subunit ribosomal RNA
Source: RNAcentral